Molecule: long non-coding RNA, 297 nt
Organism: Drosophila rhopaloa
Lineage: Eukaryota; Metazoa; Arthropoda; Insecta; Diptera; Drosophilidae
Exons: 3
Source: RefSeq, a predicted model, not a curated record
GCGGGAGUGAAGAUGUUGAUCGUCCGACUGGUACUUUGUUUGAGUAUUCUGGCCUUUGUGGCUGCAGAGGAGAAUGUUACCGGCCCAGCUUGCCAGCCAGGUGGAGGAUACUGUCUAACGGAUAUCGAUUGCUGCUCAAACAUGUGCAAUCAAGUGGCAGCAGAAUGUAGUUAAGUCGGUGAAUAGUGUUUCCGGCUGAGCAUUGCUAAAAUAUGUAAUGACACACGGACUUCCACAGGUGUUUAAACUUAUUAAAAAUCUAAUAAAGUUGGACCCUAAAAAUACUUUCGAGUAUAA